CCAAAAGAGAAGUGUAGGCAUGGAUUUCAAGGCUAGAACUAGAGAGCACCUCUGUGCUGAUGCAGUUAUUUGCUUAGAGAGUUUAUUAUGAACUUGGAGAUAAAACUGACAGAUCUGGAGUCCAAGCUCUUCCCUCUGGGCUGUGCAUAUCUUUGGUGUGUCUAGAAACUACUACCCAAGCUAAAUUGGCUGUGUUCUUCCUCACGGUCUCUGUUGAGGAGUGCAGGCUCAGCAAGGUGCCUUGGCAGGACAGACUGAGCAAGAACUUUGGACUUUUGAUGCAGAUGCAUCACACUGGAACGCCAACACUGCCCCUUUGUGGGUGUGCAUACUUGAAUACGUCCAUUGGAUCAAUGUGAGAUCAACUUGGGCGAGGUUUCUAUUUGCGCUUUGGCCUCCAUGAGCCUCCACUCUGUAUAGGUAACAAGAAUAGUGUUUUGAGCCUACCAAUGACCAUGGCAACUGGGAAUCUCUUUCUCCAGUGUUGAGCUAAUCUGAAUACAAACUCUUUGAAAGCAAAGAUUUUGUUGUCUCACUUGCCAAUGAAUAUCCUCCAUUGCCUAGAACAAUGCAUGACACAAACAUCUGAAAACCUCCCAAAGUUACUAGAAGAAAGGAAAGAGAUGGAGGUGAUAGGAAGAGAUCCUGGAGGUAAUGAGCUAGAAGAAGACUGUGUGCCAUGAUGGGCCUCACAAACUCCCCAGGUUUGGUACCUAAGAAGGACAAAGCAGGAACACGAAAGUCCCCAUCAUGGCAUUUAUCUAGGACUCCAGGAUAAAAGGAAAGUUGGGGGUGGAACCCAUCCACAAUUCAUCACGGAUGGUGAUGUCUUUAUUGGCUACUGACCUUGCAAUGAGUUGAAUGAGUUAUAAGAAGGUUCUCUGUUACCCCAAUCCCUGUUUUCUUGAAGGAGGACAUAAAUCACUUGAAUCUCAUGAAUUUCUCAUAUUUACAAAGUAUGCUUCCAAAUUUCCCACAGAGGAUGCAGUAUAACCACUUAUUUUUCCAAUUUAAAAAAAAUAAUUUUUCAGCUUGUUCGAUGUCACAUAAGGAGGCUGAUGAUUGAGAAGAUCUGAGAGUGACCCGAGGAUCCAAGGGUGGGUGUCAGCAAGAAGCCCAGAGAGAAGCAGAUAGCUUCCAUCAUUCCUGUUGUGAGGGUGUUUGCAUUACU
Long non-coding RNA from Canis lupus familiaris (dog), 1171 nucleotides. RefSeq lists it as uncharacterized. NCBI's taxonomy places the organism in Eukaryota, Metazoa, Chordata, Mammalia, Carnivora, Canidae. The record is from RefSeq and is a predicted model, not a curated record. The transcript has 5 exons.